CCUACGGGAGGCUGCAGUGAGGAAUAUUGGUCAAUGGACGAGAGUCUGAACCAGCCAAGUAGCGUGAAGGAUGACUGCCCUAUGGGUUGUAAACUUCUUUUAUAUGGGAAUAAAACGUUCCACGUGUGGGAUUUUGUAUGUACCAUAUGAAUAAGGAUCGGCUAACUCCGUUCCAGCAGCCGCGGUAAUACGGAGGAUCCGAGCGUUAUCCGGAUUUAUUGGGUUUAAAGGGAGCGUAGGUGGAUUGUUAAGUCAGUUGUGAAAGUUUGCGGCUCAACCGUAAAAUUGCAGUUGAAACUGGCAGUCUUGAGUACAGUAGAGGUGGGCGGAAUUCGUGGUGUAGCGGUGAAAUGCUUAGAUAUCACGAAGAACUCCGAUUGCGAAGGCAGUUCACUGGACUGCAACUGACACUGAGGCUCGAAAGUGUGGGUAUCAAACAGGAUUAGAUACCCUUGUAGUC
This 460-nucleotide ribosomal RNA is filed under the name uncultured bacterium. RNAcentral's name for it is "partial 16S ribosomal RNA". It matches the Rfam family "Bacterial small subunit ribosomal RNA", at positions 338 to 795 of the family's 1533-position model. The record is from RNAcentral.